RNAcentral lists this unclassified non-coding RNA (306 nucleotides) under plant metagenome. RNAcentral describes it as "partial contains 5.8S ribosomal RNA, internal transcribed spacer 2, and large subunit ribosomal RNA". The stretch from base 1 to 105 matches the Rfam family "5.8S ribosomal RNA", at positions 50 to 154 of the family's 154-position model. The record is from RNAcentral.
GAAAUGCGAUAAGUAGUGUGAAUUGCAGAAUUCAGUGAAUCAUCGAAUCUUUGAACGCACAUUGCGCCCCUUGGUAUUCCAUGGGGCAUGCCUGUUCGAGCGUCAUUUGUACCUUCAAGCUUUGCUUGGUGUUGGGUGUUUGUCUCGCCUCUGCACGCAGACUCGCCUCAAAACAAUUGGCAGCCGGCGUAUUGAUUUCGGAGCGCAGUACAUCUCGCGCUUUGCACUCAUAACGACGACGUCCAAAAAGUACAUUUUUUACACUCUUGACCUCGGAUCAGGUAGGGAUACCCGCUGAACUUAAGC